RNAcentral lists this ribosomal RNA (60 nucleotides) under Mesorhizobium sp. B2-3-3. RNAcentral's name for it is "partial 23S ribosomal RNA". The record is from RNAcentral. RNAcentral also lists the same sequence under 2 other names. Lineage: Bacteria; Pseudomonadati; Pseudomonadota; Alphaproteobacteria; Hyphomicrobiales; Phyllobacteriaceae.
GAAGCCCGGUAACGGGUGGAGCUGACUGGUACUAAUAGGCCGAGGGCUUGUCCUCAGUUG